Molecule: ribosomal RNA, 254 nt
Filed under: uncultured bacterium
Lineage: Bacteria
Description: partial 16S ribosomal RNA
Rfam family: Bacterial small subunit ribosomal RNA
Source: RNAcentral
UACGAAGGGGGGCUAGCGUUGCUCGGAAUCACUGGGCGUAAAGCGCACGUAGGCGGACUCUUAAGUCGGUGGUGAAAUCCUGGAGCUCAACUCCAGAACUGCCUUCGAUACUGGGAGUCUCGAGUCCGGGAGAGGUGAGUGGAACUGCGAGUGUAGAGGUGAAAUUCGUAGAUAUUCGCAAGAACACCAGUGGCGAAGGCGGCUCACUGGCCCGAUACUGACGCUGAGGUGCGAAAGCGUGGGGAGCAAACAGG